GUUCAUCUUGCAUUUCCUGAGGACAAUUGUGGUCCUGGCCACUCUCUGUGGCCAGCAACUCAUCCCAAGUGACCUUUUUACCUUGUUCUGUUUUAUAGACCCCAUAAGACACCUGGGAGAGCAGAGAUUUUGGUCCUGGGACACAGGAGAGAUGAUACCUGCAGUGCACAGCAGCUGAAAUUAACCUGUAAGACUCGGAGCAGGAGCUUGUUUUUCGUUUCCAAAGACAUAACUGUCUAUAUUGUAUGGAAUUUGCAGACUUAUAUGUUCUUUGUUUAAUAAUUUUAAUAUUAGUAAUUCAUGUUAAAUUUUUAUAUUAAAUUAUAUUUACUUGGUAACAGUUGCUUUUUAAAUUCAUUCUGUAAAAUAAAACACACUUGGGAAGAGAGGUGGGAGGGAAAGUGAGGGAGAAGUGGAAUUGCACGGAAGAUGGAAGGAGACCCUCAUCGUUAUACAGAAUACAUGUAUGAUGAUGUGAGGGAAAAAAAGAAGUGUGUCACAUUAGAUUGGGUAGAGAGAACUGAUGGGAGGGGAGGGGAGGGGAAGGAGGGAAAGGAAGGUCAGCAGAAUAAAAUAGACAUUAGUAUUGCUGUAUGUAUAUACAUGACUGCAUGACCAAUGUGAUUCUGCAACCUGUACACUCAGAAAAAUGUGAAAUU
Molecule: long non-coding RNA, 659 nt
Filed under: Marmota monax (woodchuck)
Lineage: Eukaryota; Metazoa; Chordata; Mammalia; Rodentia; Sciuridae
Source: RNAcentral